GAUGAAGAGCGUAGCGAAAUGCGAUACGUAAUGUGAAUUGCAGAAUUCAGUGAAUCAUCGAAUCUUUGAACGCAUAUUGCGCUCUCUGGUAUUCCGGAGAGCAUGCUUGUUUGAGUAUCAGUAAACACCUCAACUCCCUUUUCUUUUUUGAAAUUGGAGCUGGACUUGAGUGAUCCCAACGCUUUCUUCCAAGAAAGUGGCGGGUUGCUUGAAAUGCAGGUGCAGCUGAACUUUUCUCUGAGCUAUAAGCAUAUCUAUUUAGUCUGCCUAAAAAACAGAUUAUUACCUUUGCUGCAGCUAACAUAAAGGAGACUAGUUCUUGUGCUGACUGAUGCAGGAUUCACAGAGACAGCUUCGGCUGACUUUGUAAACUCGAUCUCAAAUCAAGUAAGACUACCCGCUGAACUUAAGCAUAUCAAUAAGCGGAGGA
This 430-nucleotide unclassified non-coding RNA is filed under the name soil metagenome. RNAcentral describes it as "partial contains 5.8S ribosomal RNA, internal transcribed spacer 2, and large subunit ribosomal RNA". The stretch from base 1 to 120 matches the Rfam family "5.8S ribosomal RNA", at positions 35 to 154 of the family's 154-position model. The record is from RNAcentral.